Portunus trituberculatus (swimming crab) is the source of this 71-nucleotide non-coding RNA. The record is from the annotation of a RefSeq genome assembly. NCBI's taxonomy places the organism in Eukaryota, Metazoa, Arthropoda, Malacostraca, Decapoda, Portunidae.
UCCCAUGUGGUCUAGUGGCUAGGAUACCUGGCUUUCACCCAGGAGGCCAGGUUCGAUUCCCGGCAUGGGAA